GAGUAAAAAGCCUUCCACCAGAGGACGAAUCAAUAUAAGAGGCUGAUCCAACUGCAUAUGUCGCAGAAGGAAGUGGGAAAGUGGUUCCAAAAGGGAACACAGGAUACUGGAAAGGCGAAGGUGGAAAUUGCACAGCAGGUGAUGAUGACAAUACUGAACCCCUGAAAACAUCUGGAGUGAAGGGGGUGUGCCUGUGAACCAGUAACAGACAGUUGCCUUGAUGCCAACGGAACUGACUCUUCUUUCCCAUCCAAAUCCAUAGCUCCAGGACCUGCAUUCAGAUCUAGACCUUGCCGGCUCCGCUUUCUGUUGUGGUCUCCGACUCCAUUGCUUUUAACGUCAGGAACUGCAACCACAUAAGGCCUUGGAUAUUGAGAUGAUACAGCACCUACAUGUCCUAGUAACUGUGAAUUCACAGGUGGAGUAAAAAGCCUUCCACCAGAGGACGAAUCAAUAUAAGAGGCUGAUCCAACUGCAUAUGUCGCAGAAGGAAGUGGGAAAGUGGUUCCAAAAGGGAACACAGGAUACUGGAAAGGCGAAGGUGGAAAUUGCACAGCAGGUGAUGAUGACAAUACUGAACCCCUGAAAACAUCUGGAGUGAAGGGGGAACCAGCAGCAGCUGGACCUAACAUUCGUGGGGCACCAGGUGGGAUUAUUGGAAACGGCAGCUGCUCCCCACGAUCAGACAAAAUUGAUGG
RNAcentral lists this long non-coding RNA (698 nucleotides) under Nicotiana benthamiana. RNAcentral's name for it is "long non-coding RNA (NBEN_LNC022633)". The record is from RNAcentral. Lineage: Eukaryota; Viridiplantae; Streptophyta; Magnoliopsida; Solanales; Solanaceae.